This 1221-nucleotide ribosomal RNA is filed under the name metagenome. RNAcentral's name for it is "bacterial SSU rRNA". It matches the Rfam family "Bacterial small subunit ribosomal RNA", at positions 77 to 1275 of the family's 1533-position model. The record is from RNAcentral.
GCUAGAGCAAGUAAAGUGGCGCACGGGUGAGUAACGCGUGGGCAAUCUACCUCCGAAUCAGGGAUAACAUUGCGAAAGCGAUGCUAAUACCGGAUGACAUCCUGAAGGCUUCGGUUUUAAGGAUCAAAGGUGGCCUCUACAUGUAAGCUACUGUUUGGAGAUGAGCCCGCGUACCAUUAGCUUGUUGGUAGGGUAACGGCCUACCAAGGCGACGAUGGUUAGCUGGUCUGAGAGGAUGAUCAGCCACACUGGAACUGACACACGGUCCAGACUCCUACGGGAGGCAGCAGUGAGGAAUUUUGCGCAAUGGGGGAAACCCUGACGCAGCAACGCCGCGUGAGUGAUGAAGGCUUUCGGGUCGUAAAGCUCUGUCAAGUGGGAAGAAACCACGAGGUGAUAAUAUCGCUUUGUGCUGACGGUACCACUGAAGGAAGCACCGGCUAACUCCGUGCCAGCAGCCGCGGUAAUACGGGGGGUGCAAGCGUUAUUUGGAAUCAUUGGGCGUAAAGGGCGCGUAGGCGGUUUGUUAAGUCAGAUGUGAAAGCCCGGGGCUCAACCCCGGAAGUGCAUUUGAUACUGGCGGACUUGAGUAUGGGAGAGGGAAGUGGAAUUCCUGGUGUAGAGGUGAAAUUCGUAGAUAUCAGGAGGAACACCGGUGGCGAAGGCGACUUCCUGGACCAAUACUGACGCUGAGGCGCGAAGGCGUGGGUAGCAAACAGGAUUAGAUACCCUGGUAGUCCACGCAGUAAACGGUGAUCACUAGGUGUAGCGGGUAUUGACCCCUGCUGUGCCGCAGUUAACGCAUUAAGUGAUCCGCCUGGGGAGUACGGCCGCAAAGUUAAAACUCAAAGGAAUUGACGGGGGCCCGCACAAGCGGUGGAGCAUGUGGUUUAAUUCGACGCAACGCGAAGAACCUUACCUGGGUUUGACAUCUCGGGGAUUUUUUGGAAACAAGAAAGUGCCCUUCGGGGAGCCCGAAGGCAGGUGCUGCAUGGCUGUCGUCAGCUCGUGUCGUGAGAUGUUGGGUUAAGUCCCGCAACGAGCGCAACCCUUAUCUUUAGUUACCAUCACUUCGGGUGGGGACUCUAAAGAUACUGCCCCGGUCAACGGGGAGGAAGGUGGGGAUGACGUCAAGUCCUCAUGGCCUUUAUGCCCAGGGCUACACACGUGCUACAAUGGGCGAUACAAAGGGUAGCGAGCCUGCGAAGGUGAGCCAAUCCC